UACAGAGGUCUCAAGCGUUGUUCGGAUUCAUUGGGCGUAAAGGGUGCGUAGGUGGCGCUGUAAGUCGGGUGUGAAAUUUCGGAGCUUAACUCCGAAACUGCAUUCGAUACUGCGGUGCUUGAGGACUGGAGAGGAGACUGGAAUUCAUGGUGUAGCAGUGAAAUGCGUAGAGAUCAUGAGGAAGACCAGUGGCGAAGGCGGGUCUCUGGACAGUUCCUGACACUGAAUAGCGAAAGCCAGGGGAGCAAACGGG
Molecule: ribosomal RNA, 253 nt
Filed under: uncultured bacterium
Lineage: Bacteria
Description: partial 16S ribosomal RNA
Rfam family: Bacterial small subunit ribosomal RNA
Source: RNAcentral